GUGAAGUCGCGGUAGGCUUGCUCCCGGAUCAGGCGGUCCCGGUCGUCGUCCAGCGCGAUCCCCUCGGCGGGCGGCGGGAUGGAGGAGUUGAGGACACUCGGCCAGGUCCAGCUGAGCCCCCGAGUGGGCUUUCGGCUGCCCGCCAAACAACACAGCUUUUCCCAGUGCGGCGUGGAAAGAAGACGGACAAAACGGCAUGUGAGGAACUUCCAACAGCUCCAGCGGGAGUGAAGGGCGUCGCCCUCCAGCAGGCGCAUCUCUUGUUUCCAAGAAAGUCGUGUCUAGUAUGUAAGGACCGCCAAAUGCUGUCGGAUUCGUUCUUGCUGUGUAUGCUCAAGUGUUGUUCGUCUUUUUGAUCUUGUU
This is a long non-coding RNA of Hippocampus zosterae (dwarf seahorse), 363 nucleotides long. RefSeq lists it as uncharacterized. The record is from RefSeq and is a predicted model, not a curated record. NCBI's taxonomy places the organism in Eukaryota, Metazoa, Chordata, Actinopteri, Syngnathiformes, Syngnathidae. The transcript is spliced from 3 exons.